GAGAGCGAUAUAAAGAGAGCGAGGGGGCGGAUGUAGCCAAGUGGAUCAAGGCAAUGGAUUUGUGA
Molecule: transfer RNA, 65 nt
Filed under: Marsdenia oreophila
Lineage: Eukaryota; Viridiplantae; Streptophyta; Magnoliopsida; Gentianales; Apocynaceae
Description: partial tRNA-His
Source: RNAcentral